GCAUCGGUGGUUCAGUGGUAGAAAUCUCACCUUCUAUGCAGGAGACUUAAGUUCGAUUCCUGGCCAAUGCA
RNAcentral lists this transfer RNA (71 nucleotides) under Loxodonta africana (African savanna elephant). It matches the Rfam family "tRNA". From Rfam's summary of the family: Transfer RNA (tRNA) molecules are approximately 80 nucleotides in length. Their secondary structure includes four short double-helical elements and three loops (D, anti-codon, and T loops). The record is from Rfam by way of RNAcentral. Lineage: Eukaryota; Metazoa; Chordata; Mammalia; Proboscidea; Elephantidae.